GGCUGUUUGCACUUAAAAACAGUCUGGCCUGCCCACUGAAAAUCUUUAAAGGGCCGCGGUAUCCUGACCGUGCAAAGGUAGCAUAAUAAUUAGUCUUUUAAUUGGAGACUGGAAUGAAAGGUUGGACAAAGAACUAACUGUCUCAAUUUAAUAAGUAUAAAUUAACUUUUUAGUGAAAAGGCUAAAAUACUCUUAUAGGACGACAAGACCCUGUAAAACUUCAUAAACUUUUUCUUAUCUUUCCAAUUUUUCGUUAAAAGUUACUUAUUUUAUAAGUUUAUUUCGUUGGGGUGACGAGAGUAAAAUUAAAUAACUGCUCUUUUACUUAAACAAUUAUAAUUGUAAUUUCUUUGAUCCUUUUUUUUUAGAAAAAAGAAAAAGUUACUUCAGGGAUAACAGCGUUAUUCUUUUUAAGAGUUCUUAUCGACAAAAGAGUUUGCGACCUCGAUGUUGAAUUAAACUUUCCUUAUAGUGCAGCAGCUAUAAAGGUAGGUCUGUUCGACCUUUAAAAGUUUACAUGAUUUGAGUUCAAACCGGCGCA
RNAcentral lists this ribosomal RNA (541 nucleotides) under Neocallichirus angelikae. RNAcentral's name for it is "partial large subunit ribosomal RNA". It matches the Rfam family "Bacterial large subunit ribosomal RNA", at positions 1831 to 2623 of the family's 2925-position model. The record is from RNAcentral. Lineage: Eukaryota; Metazoa; Arthropoda; Malacostraca; Decapoda; Callianassidae.